CACGGGUGCAGGGUGUUUUAUCAUGGGUGCAGGGUGCAAGGUGUUCUAUCACGGGUGCAGGGUGUUUUAUCACGGGUACAAGGUGUUCUAUCACGGUUGCAGGGUGCAGGGUGUUCUAUCAUGGGUGCAGGGUGUUCUAUCACGGGUGCAGGGUGCAGGGUGUUUUAUCACGGGUGCAGGGUGUUCUAUCAUGGGUGCAGGGUGCAGGGUGUUUUAUCACGGGUACAAGGUGUUCUAUCACGGUUGCAGGGUGCAGGGUGUUCUAUCAUGGGUGCAGGGUGUUUUAUCACGGGUACAGGGUGUUCUAUCACGGGUGCAGGGUGCAGGGUGUUUUAUCACGGGUGCAGGGUGUUCUAUCAUGGGUGCAGGGUGCAGGGUGUUUUAUCACGGGUACAGGGUGUUCUAUCACGGGUACAAGGUUUUCUAUCAUGGGUGCAGGGUGUUCUAUCACGGGUACAAGGUGUUCUAUCACGGGUACAAGGUGUUCUAUCACGGGUACAGGGUGUUCUAUCAUGGGUGCAGGGUGCA
This is a long non-coding RNA of Oncorhynchus tshawytscha (Chinook salmon), 528 nucleotides long. The record is from Ensembl. Lineage: Eukaryota; Metazoa; Chordata; Actinopteri; Salmoniformes; Salmonidae.